Zea mays is the source of this 109-nucleotide non-coding RNA. NCBI's taxonomy places the organism in Eukaryota, Viridiplantae, Streptophyta, Magnoliopsida, Poales, Poaceae. The record is from Rfam.
ACUCUCGUAUUCACUUCAAGCCAUGUGUAUUUAGGUGGAUUGGGAUGUAACUUAAACUAAUUUACACCACAAUCCACCUCAAUACAUAUGGAUUGAGGUGAAUACAAGA